Small nuclear RNA from Hippoglossus stenolepis (Pacific halibut), 157 nucleotides. RefSeq annotates it as U1 spliceosomal RNA. The transcript has a single exon. NCBI's taxonomy places the organism in Eukaryota, Metazoa, Chordata, Actinopteri, Pleuronectiformes, Pleuronectidae. The record is from RefSeq and is a predicted model, not a curated record.
AUACUUACCUGAGGAAGAGAUGAUCCAUGAAGGUGGUUCACACAGGCGAGGCUCAGCCAUUGCACUUCGGUUGUGUGCGACCCGUGCGAAUUCCCCAAAUGUGAGAUCUCGAGCUGCAUAAUUUGUGGUAGUGGGGGACUGCGUCCGCUCUCCUGAU